RNAcentral lists this ribosomal RNA (497 nucleotides) under uncultured bacterium. Its description in RNAcentral is "partial 16S ribosomal RNA". It matches the Rfam family "Bacterial small subunit ribosomal RNA", at positions 28 to 507 of the family's 1533-position model. The record is from RNAcentral.
GAUGAACGCUGGCGGCGUGCCUAAUACAUGCCAGUCGAGCGAACGGACGAGAAGCUUGCUUCUCUGAUGUUAGCGGCGGACGGGUGAGUAACACGUGGAUAACCUACCUAUAAGACUGGGAUAACUUCGGGAAACCGUAGCUAAUACCGGAUAAUAUUUUGAACCACAUGGUUCAAAAGUGAAAGACGGUCUUGCUGUCACUUAUAGAUGGAUCCGCGCUGCAUUAGCUAGUUGGUAAGGUAACGGCUUACCAAGGCAACGAUGCAUAGCCGACCUGAGAGGGUGAUCGGCCACACUGGAACUGAGACACGGUCCAGACUCCUACGGGAGGCAGCAGUAGGGAAUCUUCCGCAAUGGGCGAAAGCCUGACGGAGCAACGCCGCGUGAGUGAUGAAGGUCUUCGGAUCGUAAAACUCUGUUAUUAGGGAAGAACAUAUGUGUAAGUAACUGUGCACAUCUUGACGGUACCUAAUCAGAAAGCCACGGCUAACUACGUG